RNAcentral lists this ribosomal RNA (425 nucleotides) under uncultured bacterium. Its description in RNAcentral is "partial 16S ribosomal RNA". It matches the Rfam family "Bacterial small subunit ribosomal RNA", at positions 354 to 796 of the family's 1533-position model. The record is from RNAcentral.
GUGGGGAAUAUUGGACAAUGGGCGCAAGCCUGAUCCAGCCAUGCCGCGUGAGUGAUGAAGGCCUUAGGGUUGUAAAGCUCUUUCACCGAUGAAGAUAAUGACGGUAGUCGGAGAAGAAGCCCCGGCUAACUUCGUGCCAGCAGCCGCGGUAAUACGAAGGGGGCUAGCGUUGUUCGGAUUUACUGGGCGUAAAGCGCACGUAGGCGGUUUGUUAAGUCAGGGGUGAAAUCCCGGAGCUCAACUCCGGAACUGCCUUUGAUACUGGCAAGCUAGAGUCCGGAAGAGGUAAGUGGAACUCCUGGUGUAGAGGUGGAAUUCGUAGAUAUUAGGAAGAACACCAGUGGCGAAGGCGGCUCACUGGUCCGGUACUGACGCUGAGGUGCGAAAGCGUGGGGAGCAAACAGGAUUAGAAACCCGGGUAGUCC